GGCACCAUUUAUUAUGGAUGCAUCAAAUAUGUUUGCAUGUGGUGGUGUGGAGGAAGACUAGAUAACAUGAAACCCUUUCAUGUUUGAAUAAGUUAAGCCAUCUAACGACUUAAGGUUUGAACCUAAUCCUAUUAGGUCAAGGCAUCAAGCUUAGGAUUAGCACAAACACCUUUGCACCAAAUCCAAUUGGAAACUUAGGUUAAUCUAUGUGCUAGCAAUUUAAUUAACCCAUAGAAUUUAUAUUAAAUCCAAAUAGAUUAGACCAAGAUCAAAUUU
This 276-nucleotide long non-coding RNA is filed under the name Elaeis guineensis (African oil palm). RNAcentral's name for it is "long non-coding RNA (EGUI_LNC080249)". Lineage: Eukaryota; Viridiplantae; Streptophyta; Magnoliopsida; Arecales; Arecaceae. The record is from RNAcentral.